UACGUAGGGGGCAAGCGUUGUCCGGAAUCAUUGGGCGUAAAGCGCGCGCAGGCGGUCCUUUAAGUCUGAUGUGAAAGCCCACGGCUCAACCGUGGAGGGUCAUUGGAAACUGGGGGACUUGAGUACAGAAGAGGAAAGUGGAAUUCCACGUGUAGCGGUGAAAUGCGUAGAGAUGUGGAGGAACACCAGUGGCGAAGGCGACUUUCUGGUCUGUAACUGACGCUGAGGCGCGAAAGCGUGGGGAGCAAACAGG
Molecule: ribosomal RNA, 253 nt
Filed under: uncultured bacterium
Lineage: Bacteria
Description: partial 16S ribosomal RNA
Rfam family: Bacterial small subunit ribosomal RNA
Source: RNAcentral